Molecule: long non-coding RNA, 1536 nt
Organism: Solanum lycopersicum (tomato)
Lineage: Eukaryota; Viridiplantae; Streptophyta; Magnoliopsida; Solanales; Solanaceae
Source: RefSeq, a predicted model, not a curated record
AAAAACAAAGAUUACAAAAAAUAGAAAAAGCUAUAAUAGAAUACUUAAAUAUAUACGAAGAUCAAUAUACCAGAAAAUUUUUAUUUACAAAGAUAUGUUAAUUAAAAUGUAUAAGAGCUUUAAAGUGGGAAUUCGAGGAAUUAGAAAUAAAGUCUACAUUUUUACUAAAAGAAUAAAAGACUACAGGGAACAAUGUAAAAUAACAACUAGGAUAAACUAUAGUAAAAAUAGCUUCUCAAAAAAACCUAGAAUAUUUAGAUUUACAUAUAAAUGUAGAAAAGAAAUUUAAAAGUCUAAAAGAUGAUAGUGUAAUAAAGUGUAAUUUUGAAAACGGAGGACACAAUUUACACACUACAAAAGACUCUCAAUAUAAUACCCUAAUAGAAUUAAUAAUAAAUUUUAGCGAAAAUACUAGAGAACAUAAUAAUACAAUUACAGAAUUACUAGGUGAACAAGAAGAAACUCUAAAUAGACAAAAACAGUUUUUCAACAAAAUAGAGGGUAAUUUAGAUUAUAUUAAGGAACAAGAAAUUGAAUUUAAAUAAUAAAUUAAGCGAACUAAAAAAACAAACAAAAAGAAAAAGUUAAUAAUUCAUUAAUUAUAAGACUACAAGAGAUAAAAAAAGAAUUAACAUUAUUAAAAGAAAUAGUUAUUUCAUGAUAGACUUAGUAGAAACUGAGUCACACAAAGAAUCUACUACGUUAAUAGAAAAAAGAAUAUCUCUUCCAACAGAUUACAAAGAAGUUAAUCCAUCUUCAAAAUCAGAUCAAGUUAUCAUAAAAUAAAAUAAUAUAAUAAUAACAUUAUUUUUUCUUUUCUACUAUAAUAGAAGAGACUUGUUUCAACAUGCCUGUUACACAAGUCUAGGGGCAUUUUAGUCUUUUCAAUUCUAAAUUGUUACUACGUGUCUUAUUGCUGUGUUUUCAAUUUUAGACGUUCCUCUUUAGUUGUCUUCAUCGUUUAUCUCAGUGCACAUCAAAGGUCUUCUCCUUUCUCUACCAUUCUAUCCAGGCUUAUGUUUCUGCAUUUAAGGUAAGAUAAAGGGCCAUACGGGUCGGAGGAUCCAGCCAACAACCUUUUUUUAAGACAGAACGAUUUACUAUCAACAAAAUCACCAUGGCCACACAUGAGUAGACUUGUAAAGUCCACCUGGUAGAUAAAGGCCCUUCCCUAACCAAAAAAGAGGGAAACAAGAAAUAUCAACUGAUGGCAUUACAAGAUGAAGUGAUAUUUGCUAUUGGAAUUUAAAUAAUCAUUCACUCAUACAUAUCAUCUUGUCGUCAAAUGAUUACGUAGCAUACCAUUUUUAAUUUCCUUUUUGUUGGCUCUAAUCUAACUUCAUUCACUUAUGUUAAAUUUCAUUCUGUUUUGAUUGCUAAGAAGUAGAAGGGUUAAACAACCUUUUUACAUCUGGGCUCAUUGAAUCUCAAUUCUCUGUAUAUUCAGGAACAUGCCCUCAUUUUGUGAUAGUUUAGUAGACUAAAAGAAGAUACCAUCUAAGAGGUUAUAUCAUAUAAAAAUAGAUACAUCUUGAA